UGUGGGAGCGAGCCUGCUCGCGAUGGCGUCAGGCCAAUCGGGAUUGAUGUUGACUGACACACCGCUAUCGCGAGCAGGCUCGCUCUCACA
Molecule: unclassified non-coding RNA, 90 nt
Filed under: Pseudomonas kilonensis
Lineage: Bacteria; Pseudomonadati; Pseudomonadota; Gammaproteobacteria; Pseudomonadales; Pseudomonadaceae
Source: RNAcentral